UGAUUAUAUUGAGUGGAAUGUAAGUUUUCAAGUAGUGUUUGGAAUGUGUUUCGUUUGACAGAUUUUACAUGGACGAAAACACAAGUUUUAGGACGAAAACCAGUUUUUCCCACAAAAACUUGUUUUCAUUGUCCGUCCGAACAUAGUAUUACUAAAAAUAGUUUCAGCCCUAUUCUGAAAAAACCUCUCAACUGAGUUGAGAGGAAAUAUUUGAGAGAUUUCUUGUGAGGCAUAAUUUGUGAGGCUAUUCUUGCUCAAACCUCAUAAGAAAAAAGCUUAAAAAAGCUUAAAAAAGUCACCACGUGAGGUAAAAAGCUUUUUGCUGUUUUUGCUGUCAAAAAGCUUUUUUAAUAAAAAUAAGCAAACAAAAAUGGACACACAAAUGGAUAAUCAUAUGUGCUACCGCUUUCAACAUGAUUAUGACGUUUGAAUAAGGCAAUGUCGAAUGAGCAUUUUGUACACAACUGUCGUUAAUGCUACUUUAUAUUUAGUAGCAAAGUCCAGCACACUCAAUGUUGUUAAAUUCGCCCGCGACUUUAAUGAAUACAUAUACAUUGGCAAAUCGUUCACUUUUUACAUUUAUUCCGUCAACGGACUCAUCGCAAUGCCUUGACUAUUUAUGCCAUUCAUACCUAUUAAUGUCUUAAAAGCCUCCGCGUUGAUGAACUAAAAGCAAACACUUGAAAAAUC
Bactrocera dorsalis (oriental fruit fly) is the source of this 690-nucleotide long non-coding RNA. RefSeq lists it as uncharacterized. NCBI's taxonomy places the organism in Eukaryota, Metazoa, Arthropoda, Insecta, Diptera, Tephritidae. The transcript is spliced from 3 exons. The record is from RefSeq and is a predicted model, not a curated record.